Pseudonaja textilis is the source of this 90-nucleotide non-coding RNA. Lineage: Eukaryota; Metazoa; Chordata; Lepidosauria; Squamata; Elapidae. The record is from RefSeq and is a predicted model, not a curated record.
UUGUGGUUUUGGGUGUUGAUUUAGAAAACCUGACAAGGAUCAACCAGUCAUUUGAACAUUAGGAAAUCAGAAGGCUUCUCCAUCAGAAUA